RNAcentral lists this ribosomal RNA (488 nucleotides) under uncultured bacterium. RNAcentral's name for it is "bacterial SSU rRNA". It matches the Rfam family "Bacterial small subunit ribosomal RNA", at positions 28 to 517 of the family's 1533-position model. The record is from RNAcentral.
GAUGAACGCUAGCGGCAGGCUUAACACAUGCAAGUCGAGGGGUAUAGUUCUUCGGAAUUAGAGACCGGCGCACGGGUGCGUAACGCGUAUGCAAUCUACCUUUCACAGAGGGAUAGCCCCAGAGAAAUUUGGAUUAAUACCUCAUAGUAUAGCAGUUUCGCAUGAAACCACUAUUAAAGUCACAACGGUGAAAGAUGAGCAUGCGUCCCAUUAGCUAGUUGGUAAGGUAACGGCUUACCAAGGCAACGAUGGGUAGGGGUCCUGAGAGGGAGAUCCCCCACACUGGUACUGAGACACGGACCAGACUCCUACGGGAGGCAGCAGUGAGGAAUAUUGGACAAUGGGCGCAAGCCUGAUCCAGCCAUGCCGCGUGCAGGAUGACGGUCCUAUGGAUUGUAAACUGCUUUUAUACAGGAAGAAACACACCCUCGUGAGGUACUUGACGGUACUGUAUGAAUAAGGACCGGCUAACUCCGUGCCAGCAGCCG